UACGUAGGGGGCAAGCGUUGUCCGGAAUUAUUGGGCGUAAAGAGCGUGUAGGCGGUCCGGUAAGUCAGCUGUGAAAGUCAAGGGCUCAACCCUUGAAUGCCGGUUGAUACUGUCGGGCUAGAGUCCGGAAGAGGCGAGUGGAAUUCCCGGUGUAGCGGUGAAAUGCGCAGAUAUCGGGAGGAACACCAGUGGCGAAGGCGGCUGUCUGGGCCAGUUCUGACGCUGAGGCGCGAAAGCGUGGGGAGCAAACAGG
Molecule: ribosomal RNA, 253 nt
Filed under: uncultured bacterium
Lineage: Bacteria
Description: partial 16S ribosomal RNA
Rfam family: Bacterial small subunit ribosomal RNA
Source: RNAcentral